Non-coding RNA from Ascodesmis nigricans, 98 nucleotides. The record is from the annotation of a GenBank genome assembly. Lineage: Eukaryota; Fungi; Ascomycota; Pezizomycetes; Pezizales; Ascodesmidaceae.
GGUUCUGUAGUGUAGUGGUUAGCACACGGGAUUUUGAUCUCUGCUCUUUCAGCAAAUUUCACAUUCCCGUAUCCUGGGUUCAAGCCCCAGCAGGACCU